Sus scrofa (pig) is the source of this 5574-nucleotide non-coding RNA. The record is from RefSeq and is a predicted model, not a curated record. NCBI's taxonomy places the organism in Eukaryota, Metazoa, Chordata, Mammalia, Artiodactyla, Suidae.
UAAUUUCCAUCAUUUGAUUUUUUUAUAAAUGCAUCCCUAAACCUCUCCCUUAUUUUCUAUUUUGGGAAUUCUAGGUUCAGGCUACUGUAUGAUCAUCAGUGCUGACUUUGGAACGAAGGAAGAUUGAGGUGGGAGAAGGACAGCAUAGGGGAGGGAGGGCAGGAGAGAAAGAAGGAAGAUGUUUUAAUAUUCUCCUUUUAUAACUUUGCCUUCUGCUUCUACAGCAGAUUACAAUUUGAGUCUAAAAAUAACUGUUUUACUAUUGUCAAAUCCUGACCUCAUGGGAUUUUUCUUGCAUUUAUGUUUAGAAAAAAAAUAUAGGCCAAGUUUCAAUCUUGCCAGAUGCCUUUAUUGUCCUAUCAGAAAAUUUCUCUGAAGAAUCAGAGCAAAUGAAACCAGCAGGUGUUGUAUUUAAUAGGGUUUAUAAAACUUACUUUAAAGAAACAAAUAAAGAAAACAUAACUCAAUAGAAUCAGAAUGGGAAAGUUUUUCUUUUUUUCCAUGAUCUUAAAUGACACAUAAAAACUAUCUGGCCCUCAUAUAGAGGAGAAAGAGAUUAGACUGGAGGGCUCCAAAUUUGAUAAAAUUACAUACAGGAGUGUUGGCAGGCUAGCAAAAAGGGACUUAGUAAACAGUUACAUCCCCAUCACAACAUGCACACUAAACAAGCUCCCUGAGUUGGCCUUGCCCAAAUCAAAAUAGUCCCCUUGAUGCAGAAAUGUUUUCCAUUCCUACAUUAGGGGUUUCCCCUUUCUUCUGGUGUCUAAAUUAUUCACUAAGCAGUUAAAAGGAAGACUUCCAUUGGUAAGCCAGGAGGUCUAAUUCUCAGCCAAGUUAAUUCUACAUCAUCCCCACAUACUCCACACCUGCUUCUCCACCCGGUCUCCUAACUCUUUGAAGAGCUCCCUCAUGCAUCCCAUUGCCCAAGCCCUAGGAGUAAUCAACCCAUGAUGCUCCCUCUCCCUCAGACUCAGCAUCCAAUCACUCACCUAAUCCCUUUGACUCUAUAAUUAAAAGAGUACACUCCCCUUGCAUUCCCACUGUUGCUUUCCAAGUAGAGGCCCUAUCAUCUCUUCCCUAGACUAGUCUGUUACUCUCCUCCCCAGACUCCCUCUCAUCUUGUUGGGAUGAUUCCCAUCUAUUCUGCCCUGGACAAUUCAACUUUCAAUGCAUAGAUCCAGCUGAUCCUUGGCCAUUAUAUACCCAUAUCACCAUAACAAUUCUUUAAGACCAAGUGGUCAUUGCAUUUACCUGUUGUUAAAUAUUGAAUGCCAUCCUUAUUGCUAAUCCUGUCACCCACUUCCUUAAAAACCACUGUUACCUAAGAUGUAUUAUCUUCAAAAUACAGUCCAUACUUCUUAGCAAUGCAAAUAAGGCAAGAUAAUUUCCUAAAAUAUAAAUUUUUAUUCUUAUCAUUUCCACCUACACCUAUUCCAAAGAGGUAACCAAGCUUUGUAAUUUCUUCCUUGGGGGAUUCCCAAGAAAUAAAAUCAGAAGCUGACAUGUUUUGUAAACACCUAAAUCAUUGGAAGAAAUAAGAUUAUGUUAGACUGCCUGGAAAAUUAGGGAAAGAGAGGUGUGACAGUUCCCAGGAAACAGCUCUGGGACUCUAGGAGAGAAGUUUAUGAACAGUAGAGUGAUCCUUCACCUCAACAGUAAAGCAAGAAGUGGAGAGACCCUGAAAAGGAAGGCAGAAUGGCCUAGUCUGGGAAUCUAGAUCCUGGACGCGAGCAUUCUCAUCUUAGCAGAUUCUCAUGGGUGACGGGAAAGCAGCAAACAUGCAGGAACCACAAAGGCUGACACAAUGGAUUCUCUAUGACAACCACUGCAGACAGGUGACCGAUACCCUAAGAGGCCUCACUAAAGGCAGGACCUUGGGAGCAUUGGUGGCUCCAAAAAUAUCCGAAAUGUUGCCUCUCUUAUGCCUUCCUAAGGCAUCCAAAGCAGUAGGUUUCCUUUCACAGGUGUUUUUACUCUCAACCAGCUACUAUUUUUCAGCACAGGGGAUGGAUGGCAACUUUUUCUAAAGGGCCAGAUAGUAAAUAUUUCAGUCCCAAAUCACAACCUAUGCAGUCUGUUGCAGCCACCUAACUAAUACUGCACGAAAAUAGACAAAGACAAUACAUAAAAAUGAAUGGAUAUAGCAGUAUUCAAACAGAGCUUUAUUUAUAAGGCCAAGUGAUGAGGCAGGUUUGGGCCAGGGCAGAAUUUUCCUACCUCUACUUCUGUGUAUUAACCUAUAAGUUCUAGGUCAAAGAUUGUAACUUUCUCUAAUUCUGCAAAAAUAUAUUGUGAAUUUACCAUCAAUAUCCCAGAAAAGCUGUGUGGAUCAGGGUUUAGUAAUGAAUAAGACAAAUAAAAUCUGUUGUGUGUCUGUAAUGCAGCUUAGCUUCUCACACAUGGGGAAACAGUAAAUAAGCAAAAUCAAUAAAAUCUGUGAGCUAUCAGUCUUACAGACCAAUGAGGUUCUACUGCCUGGCCUAGUGCUCGAUACCCAAUAAAUAGUGAGAAUACUAUUUAUCCAAUGAGCGUGUUUGGUACUAGAACACCCACCCCCUCAGUGCCCAUCUUCCUAAGCAGCCAGAAGCUUAAGCUGCUGAGAUUUCCAACAGAAACUGGAGCCCCAAGCUGGCUAUAAAUAGUUGGCUCAAUAACUCAUCAUUUAAUGAGGCCACAAGGCAGUGCCUGCCUUCAGCUUCCACUGAGAGUGGAGAGGACCAAGAGCUGGAGACCAGAUAUUUUCAAUGUGAUUAGUUCUCCAGGAUAGUGCUGAGACAACACGGGAUUAAAGCUCAUGUGGAUGUAAGCACCAUAAGGUCAAGGAUUCUAUCUGCUUUGCUUUAAUCUGUGCCUCUAGGAACCUGCACAAUGCUUGGAACGUGGUAGACAAUCCACCGAUAUUUGUUGAACAUGGGAAUUCCCAUUGUGGCUCAGCAGGGUCCAGGAGGAGACCUGCUAUGAACUGAGGGAUGAAGUGGAGGCUCCAGGUUUGGGAUGGGCGUCCACUCUGGUCACAUGUCAUGCUGGAGACCAGAGUUAUGGCUCUUGAGUUCCUUUUACAUGGUCCUAAAGAAGGGACUACAAAGAUACAGACACCAGAAUUUAAUAAAGCAGGAGCAGAAGGAUGAUAAAAGGAAGAAGGAUGAAGAGGAGAUGGAACCAGGAUGAUUUGUCAAAAAUCACAUCUAUUCCUAACUUUCCUCCUCGAGAGCCUCCAUGUUGCUCCAGCAGAACGGCCCAACCCUGUAGAGAGAAAUCCAAACGCCCUACACUCAUCCCUACACUUAAUCUGACACCUGUCUGUCUCCCUUCCCAUCAUCCACUUUGUUCCAGCCACACCCAUCUGCCACUGCUUCUCCAGACACAAUCUGUUCUUUCCUGUCUGAUCCUCCCACCCUCCGUGGGUUUCUUACAGACCGUGACUGGUGUUCCCAGUGCCUGUCUUCUCAGGGGCUUGCAGAAUGCUCACUCCUACCUAUUGUCUAUGGCUUCACUAAAUUGAGAUUCCUGGACCACAUUUAAAGUCUCCAACUUUAUUGGUGUUCUUGUACUGCUUAUCAGUAGGUUAAGAAGUCAUUUCUUACAUGACGAAGGUGUGGGGAAAAGGCACAUGCAGGGGUAAAAUGUAAGUUAGUGUAACGUUUCACAAGAGGAAUUUGACCAUGUAUUUGACCGUGAAGUGAAAUUGUCAUUCCUGACCCAGCAACUCCACUUCUGAACAUGUAUUCUAAUGAAAUAAUCCUGUAUGCCGACAAGGAAGUUUAUCGCAGCAAUGUUUAUAAUAUCAAAACGUUAUUUAAAAAAAUCAAAGUUCCCAACAAUGAGAGAUUCAUUAACUAAAUGACAGCUCAUUCAUAGAAUGGAAUGGGAUCUAGCCUGUCGCCCAGCAUCGGGGAGCGGGUGUACUCCAUCACUGUGGGACAAUGAAAGUUAAAUGAAAUAAAUAAAAGCAUUUGCUGCCUUGCAGAAGAAAGAUGGCAGUGUUAAUAAAAAAAAUGCAUUCUGCAUAUGAUAAUUGAUUUUUUAACAAGUGUAUUUUAUUUGUGAAAAAUGUCUGAGAAAUAUAUGAUUUUUUUUAAUUCAUUGGGUAAAUGAGUGCUUAAAAUUUAAAAAUAAGAUGCUGUGAAGUCAAGUAUACACUGUUCCCUAAUAGGAACAUAUCAGACUGCCUUAGGCAAGCCUUUAGGAACAAAGCCAUUCAGACAAAGGCCAUUAGCCUGAAAGCCACUGAAAGAUCUUAGCCAUGUCCACAGAAGAACCCAGACACAUGCUGGGAAACUCCCCACCCCAAUAAUAAGUUGAAACACCCCAUCCCAUAAGUAGUAGUAGUUCUUAUAUCAGCUAACAGAUUGUUAAAAGAACAAAAAUUUUAUUGCUUCUUUUUUCUCUUCCUCCUGUUGCACCCAUCUCAGUACCCACAUGCUCAGCUCAAGCAUUUCAUCAAGGUGAUACUAAAACUCUUUUUUUAUAUUUUACCCCCAAUCCCUUUGUAACAGCUAGCUUGAAACCCAUCCAUCAACCAGAAAAAUCUCAACUGGAACAUCUUGAAAACACAGAGAAAGAUAAACAGAAAACCGAAUCACAUUUUCUUGGGCAUUUCAAACCUCCCACCCCCACUAAGGGUUUUCAAGUUCCAUAUUCGGUCAUUAUUGGCUAGUGUCAUUGAUUCACUACUAACCAGUCACCCGAUGGCUUCAAACAGAGCUCUCAGUGUGUGGAAGUAAAGAUGUUAUCACCAAGAAAGUCAAGGGCCUGGGAGGCAGCUGGUUGCUUUUACAGGGACUGACGUAUCUGGAAGGAGACUCUGCCUGGCUUCUGAAUAUAAACAGGAAUGAGUCAGGUAGAAGCAGAAUAAAUAAGCACAGUGACUGAGAGACAUUUCCCAAAGAGCAGGCUCGGGGGAGUGGAAUAGACACCAACCCCCCCUGGGGUUUCUGCCAGACUCAAUGUUAGGAGGAGGACAGACUUUGGAGUUGACAAACCUGACUUAGAAUACUGGUUCAGCCAGCUCUUAAGAGUAUAUGCUGAGCAAGUUACCAAACCCUCUGAGCCUCAGUUUUCCUGCCAGAAAAAAUGGAUGCAAUAACACCUACUUCCCAGGGUCGUUGGGAAUAAUUAGAGCCAAUGUGGGAACUCGUUAUGCCUAGCAUGUCAUGAAUACUAUAUAAAUGAGGAUGCUGUUAUUUGGGAAGGAGAAGCCAAGCCAGGCAGGAUACAGGAAACAUUCUUAGGGAAGAGACGACGUCCAAAUAUUCUCUUUCCAUUUCAGAUCAGCCAGCUUUCAACAACCGGAGUGGAAGGCACCAGCUGAAUUCACUCUUUCCAUCCAGCUAGAGGUCAGUAUUGCACCAAUCUCCCUGAGGAAGAAAGCAGGGAUCCUACAGCCUAUUUUUAGAGAAUCUGUCUGCCUUUCCAGCCUCGGGCUCUUCAGUGUCCUUUCCUACAGCUUUCAGGAUGGGUUCACCCUCGUGGGUAAGCAUCUCCAUGUCAUCAGAAAAUUUCAUCUCAUCCCACUCACGGAUGUGAUCUGAGGGAUUUGGAGGCAUAGAUUUAAAAAAAUAAAGGGGCAGAGAG